GACGAACGCUGGCGGCGUGCUUAACACAUGCAAGUCGAACGGUAAGGCCCUUCGGGGUACACGAGUGGCGAACGGGUGAGUAACACGUGGGUAAUCUGCCCUGCACAUCGGGAUAAGCCUGGGAAACUGGGUCUAAUACCGAAUAGGACCACAGGACACAUGUCCUGUGGUGGAAAGCUUUUGCGGUGUGGGAUGGGCCCGCGGCCUAUCAGCUUGUUGGUGGGGUGAUGGCCUACCAAGGCGACGACGGGUAGCCGGCCUGAGAGGGUGUCCGGCCACACUGGGACUGAGAUACGGCCCAGACUCCUACGGGAGGCAGCAGUGGGGAAUAUUGCACAAUGGGCGAAAGCCUGAUGCAGCGACGCCGCGUGGGGGAUGACGGCCUUCGGGUUGUAAACCUCUUUCACCAUCGACGAAGGUUCGGGUUUUCUCGGGCUGACGGUAGGUGGAGAAGAAGCACCGGCCAACUACGUG
RNAcentral lists this ribosomal RNA (474 nucleotides) under uncultured bacterium. RNAcentral describes it as "partial 16S ribosomal RNA". It matches the Rfam family "Bacterial small subunit ribosomal RNA", at positions 28 to 507 of the family's 1533-position model. The record is from RNAcentral.